RNAcentral lists this ribosomal RNA (700 nucleotides) under uncultured bacterium. RNAcentral's name for it is "bacterial SSU rRNA". It matches the Rfam family "Bacterial small subunit ribosomal RNA", at positions 54 to 756 of the family's 1533-position model. The record is from RNAcentral.
CAUGCAGUCGAACGAGGUAAAUAAGAUGAAGUUUUCGGAUGGAUUCUUAUUUACCGAGUGGCGGACGGGUGAGUAACGCGUGGGUAACCUGCCUCAUACAGGGGGAUAACGGUUAGAAAUGACUGCUAAUACCGCAUAAGCGCACAGUACCGCAUGGUACGGUGUGAAAAACUCCGGUGGUAUGAGAUGGACCCGCGUCUGAUUAGCUAGUUGGUGGGGUAACGGCCCACCAAGGCGACGAUCAGUAGCCGACCUGAGAGGGUGACCGGCCACAUUGGGACUGAGACACGGCCCAGACUCCUACGGGAGGCAGCAGUGGGGGAUAUUGCACAAUGGAGGAAACUCUGAUGCAGCGACGCCGCGUGAGUGAAGAAGUAUUUCGGUAUGUAAAGCUCUAUCAGCAGGGAAGAAAAUGACGGUACCUGACUAAGAAGCCCCGGCUAACUACGUGCCAGCAGCCGCGGUAAUACGUAGGGGGCAAGCGUUAUCCGGAUUUACUGGGUGUAAAGGGAGCGUAGACGGCGAUGCAAGUCUGAAGUGAAAUACCCGGGCUCAACCUGGGAACUGCUUUGGAAACUGUGUUGCUAGAGUGCUGGAGAGGUAAGCGGAAUUCCUAGUGUAGCGGUGAAAUGCGUAGAUAUUAGGAAGAACACCAGUGGCGAAGGCGGCUUACUGGACAGUAACUGACGUUGAGGCUCGA